UGUCGAUGAACACGUUAAUUUUUUAUUUAUUUUUUGACAGAAAUGCACUUGCUCGUAUCGAGAAUACGCCAAUAUUCCGAGGAGUUUCUUUCACUCAAAAAACUUAUUAUCUAACCGAAAGACAAGAAAAUGUCUCCGGAAGUUUAGACAAUAAAACUUAAUGUCUGAAAUAAAACGUCCCAAGCUCCAAAUCCACGCUACUUCCACCUCAUCCCUGAAAUAAUACAAUUUAUUAAUAACAAGAAAAUUAUAAAUUUAAUUAGGGCUUUUUUCAUAAAUACCCAAGUCAGACUUUCAAUUUUUAAAACAAAUUGCAAAAAUAUUAUACUUCAAAAAAUACUUGCAAAAAUACGGAGGUUGCAUAUGCAACCAUAUUUGCAACUAGAAGCAACCUUAAGCAAUCAGAAAUGCAACUUUGGGAAAAAAAUUCAAAAAUUAUAUUUGUUUGCAUAAUAAAUUGCAACUGGUUGCGCACCUCUGCGGGGCCUAUUCUAAUAUCAAUAUUGCAACCUAAAAAACAACUAAAACAACAAACUAGAAAUCAACUCAAAAUUAACCUUCAUAAUCCCUGAUCUGAGUGUCUUAAUUACUGAGUCAGCUCGCUAAUUAAUUGAAUCACCCACAGGCGGCCACACCCUGACCCGAUUUGAACCGUCGAUGAUGGAGAAGUCCCCCAGUGAUAUACGAAGGCUUCGUCGGGUGGUGGUGGUGGUCGAAGAAAAUUGGUAAUGGAGGAACUCAAUCGGCGGAGGUGGUUGUGAGGCUGAUGGCUGUUGAAAGAGACGUGAUGGUCAAUCGAGAGUGAGUACUAGUUUGACAGCGACUGUUGAGAAAGGAGCUACUGUUGAGAAAGGAAGUGGGUUGAAUGAGAGAGAGGGAGAUGAACCGUAUAAUUGCAAAUAGUUUGUAGAUUUUUAGAAAAGAAAGUAAAUAUGCAAUUUUUGGGAGAAAAUUGUAUUAUUGCAAUUAAAAUGUUAAAAAGAGGUAUAUUUGGUAAAUACCCAAUAAAAUAUAAAAUAGUUUAUCAAAAGAUGGUAAAGUCAAAGAAAGAUAAAUAAAAUAAUUUGUAAAAAAAA
RNAcentral lists this long non-coding RNA (1076 nucleotides) under Daucus carota (carrot). Its description in RNAcentral is "long non-coding RNA (DCAR_LNC003819)". Lineage: Eukaryota; Viridiplantae; Streptophyta; Magnoliopsida; Apiales; Apiaceae. The record is from RNAcentral.